CCUACGGGAGGCAGCAGUGAGGAAUAUUGGUCAAUGGACGAGAGUCUGAACCAGCCAAGUAGCGUGAAGGAUGACUGCCCUAUGGGUUGUAAACUUCUUUUAUAAAGGAAUAAAACGAGGCACGUGUGCCUUUUUGCAUGUACUUUAUGAAUAAGGAUCGGCUAACUCCGUGCCAGCAGCCGCGGUAAUACGGAGGAUCCGAGCGUUAUCCGGAUUUAUUGGGUUUAAAGGGAGCGUAGAUGGGUUGUUAAGUCAGUUGUGAAAGUUUGCGGCUCAACCGUAAAAUUGCAAUUGAUACUGGCAGUCUUGAGUACAGUUGAGGUAGGCGGAAUUCGUGGUGUAGCGGUGAAAUGCUUAGAUAUUACGAAGAACCCCGAUUGCGAAGGCAGCUUACUAAACUGCAACUGACAUUGAUGCUCGAAAGUGUGGGUAGCAAACAGGAUUAGAUACCCUUGUAGUC
RNAcentral lists this ribosomal RNA (460 nucleotides) under uncultured bacterium. RNAcentral describes it as "partial 16S ribosomal RNA". It matches the Rfam family "Bacterial small subunit ribosomal RNA", at positions 338 to 795 of the family's 1533-position model. The record is from RNAcentral.